Molecule: ribosomal RNA, 859 nt
Filed under: uncultured bacterium
Lineage: Bacteria
Description: bacterial SSU rRNA
Rfam family: Bacterial small subunit ribosomal RNA
Source: RNAcentral
UCAGAUUGAACGCUGGCGGCAUGCCUUACACAUGCAAGUCGAACGGUAACAGGUUAAGCUGACGAGUGGCGAACGGGUGAGUAAUGUAUCGGAACGUGCCUAGUCGUGGGGGAUAACGUAGCGAAAGCUACGCUAAUACCGCAUACGAUCCAUGGAUGAAAGCGGGGGACCUUCGGGCCUCGCGCGAUUAGAGCGGCCGUUAUCAGAUUAGGUAGUUGGUGGGGUAAAGGCCCACCAAGCCGACGAUCUGUAGCUGGUCUGAGAGGACGACCAGCCACACUGGGACUGAGACACGGCCCAGACUCCUACGGGAGGCAGCAGUGGGGAAUUUUGGACAAUGGGCGCAAGCCUGAUCCAGCAAUGCCGCGUGCAGGAUGAAGGCCUUCGGGUUGUAAACUGCUUAUGUACGGAGCGAAAAGGCUCUCUCUAAUAAAGGGGGCUCAUGACGGUACCGUAAGAAUAAGCACCGGCUAACUACGUGCCAGCAGCCGCGGUAAUACGUAGGGUGCGAGCGUUAAUCGGAAUUACUGGGCGUAAAGCGUGCGCAGGCGGUUAUGUAAGACAGAUGUGAAAUCCCCGGGCUCAACCUGGGACCUGCAUUUGUGACUGCAUAGCUAGAGUGCGGCAGAGGGGGAUGGAAUUCCGCGUGUAGCAGUGAAAUGCGUAGAUAUGCGGAGGAACACCGAUGGCGAANGCAAUCCCCUGGGCCUGCACUGACGCUCAUGCACGAAAGCGUGGGGAGCAAACAGGAUUAGAUACCCUGNNGUCCACGCCCUAAACGAUGUCAACUGGUUGUUGGGUCUUCACUGACUCAGUAACGAAGCUAACGCGUGAAGUUGACCGCCUGGGGAGUANGGCC